Molecule: ribosomal RNA, 343 nt
Filed under: uncultured bacterium
Lineage: Bacteria
Description: bacterial SSU rRNA
Rfam family: Bacterial small subunit ribosomal RNA
Source: RNAcentral
UGUCUGGGAAACUGCCUGAUGGAGGGGGAUAACUACUGGAAACGGUAGCUAAUACCGCAUAACGUCGCAAGACCAAAGAGGGGGACCUUCGGGCCUCUUGCCAUCGGAUGUGCCCAGAUGGGAUUAGCUAGUAGGUGGGGUAAAGGCUCACCUAGGCGACGAUCCCUAGCUGGUCUGAGAGGAUGACCAGCCACACUGGAACUGAGACACGGUCCAGACUCCUACGGGAGGCAGCAGUGGGGAAUAUUGCACAAUGGGCGCAAGCCUGAUGCAGCCAUGCCGCGUGUAUGAAGAAGGCCUUCGGGUUGUAAAGUACUUUCAGCGGGGAGGAAGGGAGUAAAGU